UACGUAGGGUGCAAGCGUUGUCCGGAAUGAUUGGGCGUAAAGAGCUCGUAGGCGGUUUGUUGCGUCGGCUGUGAAAUCCCGAGGCUCAACCUCGGGUCUGCAGUCGAUACGAGCAAACUAGAGUGUUGCAGGGGAGACUGGAAUUCCUGGUGUAGCGGUGAAAUGCGCAGAUAUCAGGAGGAACACCGGUGGCGAAGGCGGGUCUCUGGGCAGCAACUGACGCUGAGGAACGAAAGCGUGGGGAGCGAACAGG
This 253-nucleotide ribosomal RNA is filed under the name uncultured bacterium. RNAcentral describes it as "partial 16S ribosomal RNA". It matches the Rfam family "Bacterial small subunit ribosomal RNA", at positions 524 to 776 of the family's 1533-position model. The record is from RNAcentral.